AUGGCUGCGCAGGGACAGCCCCAGGUCCAGUUCAAACUUGUAUUGGUUGGUGAUGGUGGUACUGGAAAAACGACUUUCAUGAAACAUCAUUUGACUGGUGAAUUUGAGAAGAAGUAUGUAGCCACCUUGGGUGUUGAGGUUCAUCCCCUAGUGUUCCAUACCAACAGAGGACCUGUUAAGUUCAAUGUAUGGGACACAGCCGGCCUGGAGAAAUUCAGUGGACUGAGAGAUGGCUAUUAUAUCCAAGCCCAGAGUACCAUCAUAGUGUUUGAUGUAACAUCGAGAGUUACUUACAAGAAUGUGCCUAACUGGCAUAGAGAUCUGGUAUGA
Molecule: long non-coding RNA, 330 nt
Filed under: Homo sapiens (human)
Lineage: Eukaryota; Metazoa; Chordata; Mammalia; Primates; Hominidae
Description: long non-coding RNA NONHSAT147469.2
Source: RNAcentral